GACUGGGCCCCAAAAAUGGUAUUUAGGACUUUUGGGGUGCCCUGAAACUGCCAAUUAGGAACUUUGAGGUGCCUUGAAACCAUCAUUUGGGGAUUUUGGGGGGUCUUGAAACCGCCAAUCAGGUGUUUUGGGGUGCCUCAAAAAAUGUUAGUUAGGACUGGGCCCCAAAAAUGGUAUUUAGGAAUUUUGGGGUGCCCUGAAACCGCCAGUGUCUCCUGGAUCUAUGGGGUGCCUUGAAACCCCCAAUUUCUCUAUGGACCUAUGGGGAGCCCCGAAACCGACAAUACAUUCAAAGAUCUAUGGGGUACCCCAAAACCAUGAUAGACCUAUGGGGCACCUCGAAACCGACAGUGUCUCCUGGAUCUAUGGGGAGCCCCGAAACCGCCAACUUCUCUAUGGACUUAUGGGGAGCCUCGAAACCGUCAACUUUUCCCAGGACCUAUGGGGCACCCUGAAACCACCGGUGUCUCCUGGAUCUAUGGGGGUGCCUUGAAACCCCCAAUUUCUCCAUGGACCUAUGGGGAGCCCCGAAACCGUCAACUUUUCCCAGGAAUUAUGGGGCGCCCCGAAACCGUCAACUUUUCCCAGGACUUAUGGGGCACCCCGAAACUGCCAGUGUCCCCAUGGACCUAUGGGGAGCCUCGAAACCCCCAAUACAGCCAAAGAUCUAUGGGGUACCCCAAAACCAUGAUAGACCUAUGGGGCACCUCGAAACCGACAGUGUCUCCUGGAUCUAUGGGGAGCCCCGAAACCGCCAACUUUUCCCAGGAAUUAUGGGGCGCCCCGAAACCGCCAACUUCUCCCUGGACCUAUGGGGUGCCUUGAAACCCCCAAUUUCUCUGUGGACCUAUGGGGUACCCCGAAACCACCGGUGUCUCCUGGAUCUAUGGGGAGCCCCGAAACCGUCAACUUUUCCCAGGAAUUAUGGGGCACCCCAAAACUGCCAGUGUCUCCUGGACCUAUGGGGUGCCUUGAAACCCCCAAUUUCUCUGUGGACCUAUGGGGCACCUCGAAACCACCGGUGUCUCCUGGAUCUAUGGGGAGCCCCGAAACCGCCAAAUUUUCCCAGGACUUAUGGGGCACCCCG
RNAcentral lists this long non-coding RNA (1087 nucleotides) under Anas platyrhynchos platyrhynchos (common mallard). RNAcentral describes it as "lncRNA (ENSAPLG00000022651.1)". The record is from RNAcentral. Lineage: Eukaryota; Metazoa; Chordata; Aves; Anseriformes; Anatidae.